AAAGAAACCAACAGGGAUUGCCCUAGUAACGGCGAGUGAAGCGGCAACAGCUCAAAUUUGAAAUCUGGCUUCGGCCCGAGUUGUAAUUUGCAGAGGAAGCUUUAGGCGCGGCACCUUCUGAGUCCCCUGGAACGGGGCGCCAUAGAGGGUGAGAGCCCCGUAUAGUUGGAUGCCUAGCCUGUGUAAAGCUCCUUCGACGAGUCGAGUAGUUUGGGAAUGCUGCUCAAAAUGGGAGGUAAAUUUCUUCUAAAGCUAAAUACCGGCCAGAGACCGAUAGCGCACAAGUAGAGUGAUCGAAAGAUGAAAAGCACUUUGAAAAGAGGGUUAAACAGCACGUGAAAUUGUUGAAAGGGAAGCGCUUGUGACCAGACUUGCGCCAGGCUGAUCAUCCGGUGUUCUCACCGGUGCACUCGGCCCGGCACAGGCCAGCAUCGGUUCUCGCGGGGGGAUAAAGGUCUCGGGAACGUAGCUCCUCCGGGAGUGUUAUAGCCCGGGGCGUAAUGCCCUCGCGGGGACCGAGGUUCGCGCAUCUGCAAGGAUGCUGGCGUA
Molecule: ribosomal RNA, 549 nt
Filed under: Dichotomopilus variostiolatus
Lineage: Eukaryota; Fungi; Ascomycota; Sordariomycetes; Sordariales; Chaetomiaceae
Description: eukaryotic LSU rRNA
Rfam family: Eukaryotic large subunit ribosomal RNA
Source: RNAcentral